GCUGGGGCGUGACCAGGCCGGCGGGCGGCGACGACGACUCUCUCGCCCGUUUUGCGGCAAUCUUUUUGAGAGGCAGCUCGACCUGUGAGACAAGAUAGUUGCACAUAAGUGAACGUCCACCGACACGGCGGAGCACGCGCGCGCUGCGUGAUCGCGCUGCGUAUUCUCCUGCUGUCAUACUUUCCAUUGCACUGAGUUAGAAUAUUUGUUAAAUUAAUUUUUUUGAAUUUUUUUUUAAAGGUUUAAUUAAUAAUAGGUUAUUUCUAGUCUUUUGGAAAAUAUGUUUAUUUUAUUUCCAAAACUACUCACUUUAUUUUCCAUCAACGGCGGCGUUGACGGCGGUGAGAGGGGUCCGCAAACUUCGAGCAGAGUGGACAUUCUGGUUAGAAUGGGAACAUUCAACAGAUAAAAACUUUCUUUUUAAUUCACAAAACUUGUGUUAUUCGCUGCGCGCUUCCGCUCUAGGGAGGUGUGUAGACUGGCUAGCGAGCGACAGACGAAUAAACCGCUUCGCGCGUUGUCGACGGACGAAGUAUGCGAGCAGCCGGGGCGCGCGGGACGGGACACCAAUGGGAGCGGACGGCGCGGCUCCGCGGGCCAAUCGACGCGGAGUGAUCACGCAGGCGGCUCGUGGUCGCGCGUGUUCUUCACGUGCACACCGAGUGACGGACGGCGAGGCCGCAGCGUGACGUCAUCGGCGCGCCCCCGCGUGACGUCGCGAGCCACGACAAGGUCGCCGCUUGCCGCCUGCAUCGCCAACAAUCAACGACAUUCGGAGGCGCUGAAAAAAGCGGUUUUUCGGGAGAAAACGUUGGCUUCCCACCGGCCCUGAUAAUGUGUAACGUAUUGCUUAAUAUUUUAUCUAAAAAAAAUUUAUGCACCAAUUUAUGUGAGACAAAAACUAAUGUUUGUGUUAUUAAUAAUAAUAUAUAGGUACAAUGCUUCACGGGUCAGACAGGGCCGCCAUUUGCCCAGGCCUGGUCUAGAGAGACCAUAUCAGCGUAACCUUAACUAGUAGGUGAGCUCACGGGGCUCAAACCUGACGAUUUUGCUAACACGAACCCUAGCAAGAGGCGUGCUUCGCAGAAUCUACCACCGAAUCGGAAACGCGACCCACUGAGAAGAUCCGUAGAAUCCGCCAGAAACUCAGUAGGCUUAUAAAUACUAAUGAUAAGUUAAGAUCUCUUUUGUACAUUUAAAUUGAGCUUUCUCGUUUCAAUUCUUGUGCAUAAUGAUGAAAUAAAAUAAAGAAAAUAAAACUAUAA
Molecule: long non-coding RNA, 1265 nt
Organism: Bombyx mori (domestic silkworm)
Lineage: Eukaryota; Metazoa; Arthropoda; Insecta; Lepidoptera; Bombycidae
Exons: 2
Source: RefSeq, a predicted model, not a curated record